Molecule: ribosomal RNA, 690 nt
Filed under: uncultured Acidobacteriota bacterium
Lineage: Bacteria; Pseudomonadati; Acidobacteriota
Description: bacterial SSU rRNA
Rfam family: Bacterial small subunit ribosomal RNA
Source: RNAcentral
AUCCUGGCUCAGAAUCAACGCUGGCGGCGCGCUUAACACAUGCAAGUCGAACGAGAAAGCCCGCAAGGGUGAGUAAAGUGGCGUACGGGUGAGUAACACGUGGGUAAUCUACCUUUUGGUGGGGAAUAACCCUGGGAAACCGGGGCUAAUACCGCAUAAGCUCGAAAGAGGAAAGGAGCAAUUCGCCGAAAGAGGAGCCCGCGGCUGAUUAGCUAGUUGGUGAGGUAAAGGCUCACCAAGGCAAUGAUCGGUAGCCGGCCUGAGAGGGCACACGGCCACACUGGCACUGAAACACGGGCCAGACUCCUACGGGAGGCAGCAGUGGGGAAUCUUGCACAAUGGGGGAAACCCUGAUGCAGCGACGCCGCGUGAGCGAUGAAGCCCUUCGGGGUGUAAAGCUCUUUCGGCAGGGACGAUAAUGACGGUACCUGAAGAAGAAGCUGCGGCUAACUACGUGCCAGCAGCCGCGGUAAUACGUAGGCAGCGAGCGUUGUUCGGAGUUACUGGGCGUAAAGAGUGCGUAGGCGGUUUUCUAAGUUUGGUGUGAAAUCUCCCGACUUAACUGGGAGGGUGCGCCGAAGACUGGAAGGCUUGAGUAUGGGAGAGGUAAGCGGAAUUCCUGGUGUAGCGGUGAAAUGCGUAGAUAUCAGGAGGAACACCUGCGGUGUAGACGGCUUACUGGACCAUAAC